GCGACCUUGCAGAGGUCAGGCUGGAGCGUAAAGGGUGGGUCAUUGCUAGUGAUUGGUGAUGGUUGGAUGUGAAGAAAUACACGACCAUAAUGCUUUGCCGUUUCUGGAGCGUCUUCGUACUGAGGAUCAGAUACGCAGUUUGGAAGUGAGGAACUUCUACCCCGUUCCUAACUCAAUUUAUAUUUAAAUGUAUUGUAGCAGAAACAACUGCCAUAUGGAAUGAUGGACUAAACUUCUGCUGGUGAAGAUGGAAGCACAUAAACUCACAAGAUUUACACUCAGGUAUUGGGAAUGAAGCUGAAUCAGGAAGCCAGCAGACAGAAGACUUCACAGAAGAGGGGGUGUUUGACUUCAGCACUGAGAGCAAAGGAUAACAUCAAGCCUUAAAAUCUGGAAAGAACGUACCUCACAGAUUUUUCAUUUUACUAAGUGCUUCAGUGAUGAAACAGUUCUUUCUAAAACACGCCUUCAGAGACCUUUCUUUGAGACAAUAUGUGAUAAUUCUUUUAAAAAAACUUGACCCCCCCAGCUCAAUGAGACAGCUCUGUUUAAGAUGGCCUUGCAGAGCCUUAGAAAAGCUCUGGGAAAUGGCCAGACACAUCACCUUGCAAUUCGUGUCAAGGGUUUGGAAUUUAACCUGAGAAGGGUAGGUGCCAUAGGGGGACUUCAAUGAGCAGCGAGGUAAAGAUCUGAGGUAUGUUUAAAUGGAUGAUUCUGUGUGGGGAAGAGAUUACAGAGAGUCAAGUGUGGAGGCAGAGAGAUGGCAAUGAUGGUUUGUGCCAAGAUGGAGAUGGGGAGACAGGGCGAGCUUGGUCCUAUAUAUUGAAGACCUAGUUGACAAGAUUUGCAGAUGGGAUGUAAGCAAAGAGGCAUAGAAGUUGACUACUUUUUUUUUUUUUUUUUUUUUUUUUGCCUAAACAACUGGGCAAUCGUGAUGGCAUCUAGUGAGAGGGAAUUUGGGAGCAGAGAAAGUUGGAGAUCAGGUUAUGGCAUUGUGUUUGAUUCUGGACAUGCUAAAUCAAAUAUCUAAGCAUUGAUAUCAAGUAAGCAGUCUGGAGUUUGGGGGAGAUGUUGGUGCUAACAUAUACAUUGGGAGCUGUGUAGAGGUAUUUAAAGCCAUGAGACUGGGUAUGAUCUCUUAGGAAGCGAGACAGCAAAGAGAAAAAUUUCUAUGAUUGAGCCCCAGAUCCUCCAGCAUUUAAUCGUCGAAAAAAGAGGUGGAUCCAGCAGAAGAAUAUGAGAAGGGGUGGCCAGGAAGGAGGAGUAAAAUCAGAGGGUGGAAUCCUUGAAGCAAAGUGAAGAAAGUGUUUCAAGAAAGAGGAAGUGCUCAAUUACGUCAGAUGCUACCGACAGAUGAAAACUGAGUUAAUCAUGGGAAAAAUCAGGCAGCGUUCAGGGUGUGCUGGGUUUUAAAUAGCUGGUUUCAGAUCCCAUCCAGAGAGCUCCAGAGAGGGCUGUGAACCAUCAUGCCAACAGAUACACAGAAACAAACCAGAGGGAAUCAGCUGAAGAUCGCUGUAGUCCUGACUCCUGCCACAUCCUUCUCUGGUACCUCAUGCAACUCAACUAUCAUUUAAAGGCUUUUUGAAACACUC
Herpailurus yagouaroundi (jaguarundi) is the source of this 1595-nucleotide long non-coding RNA. RefSeq lists it as uncharacterized. The transcript is spliced from 4 exons. Lineage: Eukaryota; Metazoa; Chordata; Mammalia; Carnivora; Felidae. The record is from RefSeq and is a predicted model, not a curated record.